CUAGCAUAUCAAUAAGCGGAGGAAAAGAAAGCAACAGCGAUAGCCUCAGUAACGGCGAGUGAAGCGGCUACAGCUCAAAUUUGAAAUCUGGCUCCCCUUUGGGCGUCCGAGUUGUAAUUUGCAGAGGAUGCUUUGGCAUUGGCGGCGGUCUAAGUUCCUUGGAACAGGACAUCGCAGAGGGUGAGAAUCCCGUACGUGGGCGCCUGCCUUUGCCGUGUAAAGCUCCUUCGACGAGUCGAGUUGUUUGGGAAUGCAGCUCUAAAUGGGAGGUAAAUUUCUCCUAAAGCUAAAUACCGGCCAGAGACCGAUAGCGCACAAGUAGAGUGAUCGAAAGAUGAAAAGUACUUUGGAAAGAGAGUCAAAUAGCACGUGAAAUUGUUGAAAGGGAAGCGCUUGCAGCCAGACUUGCCCGCAGUUGCUCACCUAGGCUUUUGCCUGGGGCACUCUUCUGCGGGCAGGCCAGCAUCAGUUUGGGCGGUCGGAUAAAGGUCUCUGUCAUGUACCACCCCUCGGGGUGGCCUUAUAGGGGAGACGCAAUGCGACCAGCCCGGACUGAGGUCCGCGCAUCUGCUAGGAUGCUGGCGUAAUGGCUGUAAGCGGCCCGUCUUGAAACACGGACCAAGGAGUCUAACAUCUAUGCGAGUGUUUGGGUGUCAAGCCCGGGCGCGCAAUGAAAGUGAACGGAGGUGGGAACCUUUCGGGGUGCACCAUCGACCGAUCCUGAUGUCUUCGGAUGGAUUUGAGUAAGAGCAUAGCUGUUGGGACCCGAAAGAUGGUGAACUAUGCUUGAAUAGGGUGAAGCCAGAGGAAACUCUGGUGGAGGCUCGCAGCGGUUCUGACGUGCAAAUCGAUCGUCAAAUUUGGGCAUAGGGGCGAAAGACUAAUCGAACCAUCUAGUAGCUGGUUCCUGCGAG
This 914-nucleotide ribosomal RNA is filed under the name Fusarium sp. RNAcentral's name for it is "partial large subunit ribosomal RNA". It matches the Rfam family "Eukaryotic large subunit ribosomal RNA", at positions 34 to 964 of the family's 3401-position model. The record is from RNAcentral. Lineage: Eukaryota; Fungi; Ascomycota; Sordariomycetes; Hypocreales; Nectriaceae.